GGUAGAAUGGCCGAAGGCCCAGGCGGUGGAUUGUAGCUCCAAUUAUAGAGGUUUAACUCCUCUUUCUAUCA
RNAcentral lists this transfer RNA (71 nucleotides) under Spratelloides delicatulus (delicate round herring). Its description in RNAcentral is "tRNA-Tyr". It matches the Rfam family "tRNA". From Rfam's summary of the family: Transfer RNA (tRNA) molecules are approximately 80 nucleotides in length. Their secondary structure includes four short double-helical elements and three loops (D, anti-codon, and T loops). The record is from RNAcentral. Lineage: Eukaryota; Metazoa; Chordata; Actinopteri; Clupeiformes; Clupeidae.